Molecule: long non-coding RNA, 659 nt
Filed under: Androctonus crassicauda
Lineage: Eukaryota; Metazoa; Arthropoda; Arachnida; Scorpiones; Buthidae
Source: RNAcentral
GUAAGAUUAAAAUAAAAAACAAGAAAAGUAGUAGAAAUUAACAAGAUUAUUUUCUGGAAGUCGUAAUUACUCAAUAAAAAAAUGAAAGUUAAAAUAUUUGUUACAGCUCGAUCGUUCAUUUAUUUUAAUAUAUUACUUUCUUUUAUAGGAAACUUAUCAAAACUUCGGAGAGUUAUAAAGCAUUUUGUCUUCUCUAGCAUUUUAAUUAAUUGUUUCUUAAUUUUUUUUGGCUCGCAUGCGCUGAUUGCACGUAAUUAUAGGAGAUUUGAUGCUCGAGCUGUUCGAUAAAACACGAGUUGAAUGAAUGAAGUUUGGAAAUACCGAUGUAGAGAUAAAAAUAUUGUUCUAGUAUUGUGGUUGGAAUGUUCUGGUAGAAUAUAUCACGAGCCUGAGCUCGGGCUGCUCGAAAAAAGCUAGAUCAGGAUCAUGACGUAAUUCUACUAGAAAAUUCGAACUACUCGAUAUUUCCAAUUUUACUUUAGAUCGCCAUUCCCAAACUUCAGUCAUUCGCAUACCAUCUUCGAAUCUUUUCGUUGUGCCAGGAUAACAUCUUUACUGUGCAUCCAUUAUGAAAUGAAUUUGAGUGUAAUUGAAGACAAAUUUUAUAUUAAAAUUCGUUUCAACAUAAUCUAAUAAUACAAUUUUUAUAUUGUUCUGCG